Cynoglossus semilaevis (tongue sole) is the source of this 4609-nucleotide RNA transcript. It is a transcript of the gene named G protein-coupled receptor, class C, group 5, member C, with no coding region annotated. The record is from RefSeq and is a predicted model, not a curated record. The transcript is spliced from 3 exons. Lineage: Eukaryota; Metazoa; Chordata; Actinopteri; Pleuronectiformes; Cynoglossidae.
UCCAACCUGCCAAAACAAGCUAAAGAAAAAAAAGAGCUAAAGAUUUGGUGUGGAUGCUGUGUGUGAGUCUGUGAUGAGGUUGGUCACCGCGUUGGUCUGAGUGAGAGCUGGACUGAGCUAACAGUCCAAACAUGGUCACAGCUGAGUGAAGACCAUCAGGAGGUGAGAAGGUCAGGACCUGAUGAUGGACAGGUCACUGCUCACUGAGUCCAUCUGCUGUCUGUUGUCCACCUGCAGUCAUGCUGAAGGUAAACACUGAGGUUUCGGCAAACAUCCACCUCAGCCAAUCAGAGCAGCUGUUGUUCAAACGCAUCUGAGAGCAUUGGUCAGAAGAUGUCCAAACAAGACAGGCUUAAACCUGUCGGCCCCUCAAAGAACCAGGACCCCUCCCCAUCCCUCACCUACUGCUGUUUUGAAAUUCUAUAAACAAGUGGUUUUUGAUGGAGAUGUAAAUAAAUUCUAAAAUCAGACUUAGACUGUUUCCCUUCUUGUCUUCAGAUCAGAUCAGAUCCCACCUUCCUCCAGGGGGAGCACCAGGGUCAUGAUCGACUGGCCAAAUGUGACGCAGUCCGGCAACCAAGAGGUGCCGGACCUGAAACCCGAGGAGCUGCAGAGGUCCACGUGUGUCCUGGGUUUCAUCCCUGUCAUCUACUACAGCGUCCUGCUGUGUGUGGGAGUCCCAGUGAACAUCCUGACCGCGGUGGCGCUGUCCAGACUGGCAUCACGGACUAAGAAAGCUCUUUACUACUACCUGCUGGCAGUGACGGGCUCUGACAUCCUGUCCCAGCUCUUCAUCAUCUUCGUGGGCUUCCUCCUGGAGACAGCCGUCUUCCACCGCGAUGUCCCCGAGCUGCUGCUGCACUCGGUCAGUGCUGCUGAGUUUGCGGCAAACCACGCCUCCAUCUGGUCCACCGUCCCUCUCACUGUGGACCGCUACGUGGCGCUGUGCCACCCCCUCCUCCACCGACAGAUCAGCUACCCAGCCCGGGCCCGCAGGAUCAUCGCGGUUGUGCUGACAUUGUCGUUGGCUUCUGGAGUUCCGUUCUUCUGGUGGUCAGACAUGUGGAGGAACAGUCACCCCCCCACUGUGAUGGACACUGUCCUUAUAUGGACACAUGUGACCAUCAUCUACUUCCUGCCCUGCAGCGUCUUCCUGGUCCUGAACUCACUGAUCAUUCGAACACUGAGGGUUAGACAGAGGCAGCAGCGACACCAGGAGGAUUGUGGGACAAACGCCACGUCACAGCAGCGACGGCACAGACUUGGAAAAACCACGGCAAUGCUCCUGUCCAUCACCUCGGUCUUCUCUGUGCUCUGGGCCCCCAGAACCGUGGUGGUCAUCUACCAUCUGUACGUGUCCUCCGUUCACAGGGACUGGCGCGUCCACUUGGCGUACGAUCUGUCCAACAUGGUGGCCAUGCUGAACACGGCCGUCAACUUCUUCCUCUACUGCUUCGUCAGUAAACCUUUCAGAGGGGCCGUCCGGGACGUGGUCCUGCUCCGGGGUGGACCACUGUAUCCUGGACGGGCUCUGCCACAGCUGCAGGCUGCAGCCCACGCCUCUGUCUCCUCUCUGUACUGCGGGAACCACAAGCGCUCACACAGAGACUCCGCCCCCUUGUCACCACCGAGAGCCAGAAAGCCCUCAUGACCCCCCGCUUUGACCAACUGACACAGAAACCCGUCUUCAUCACCAGGCCGCCAGAGGAGACGUGACCUGGAAGACAUGGUUGUCGACCCACAGUAGGGUCACUGAGUGACCACAGGAGUGAUGUGAACAAAGGUCCAGAGAACCAUGGUUCUACUGUUCUCCAGGACCAACAUGUUGGAGAACCACCAGCCAAUGGUGAAGGACACUGUCCUCAUUCAGACCCAUGUCUCUGCCAGGAUGGACACAACCACUAGUAACCUCCUCCUACUUUAACCUGUCCUUUGCCCAUCCAUGCACACCGCCCUCUUGUGGACACAUGUGACCUUCGUCGUCUUCUCCUUCACCUCCUGUUUGUCCAGCAGGACCAACAUGUCCUCACAGCAGGACCCGGUCCUUCUGUCCUAACCUCAACACUGCCUUGACACUUCCCACAGUCCCUGAGCAUGUCUCCCCCAGGGAGGAGGGUGGCCGUGGGCCACUGGGCCAGGGGCCCCUGGGUCCAGUCUCCCAGGCUCCAGAGAAAAUAUGUUUUUUUUAGUUUUUGUCGUGUGAAUUCACUUCAGUAAAUCACAGACUCCUGACAACAUAUUUAUUUUGUUUUACAAGAAUGUGACAGAAAAACAGGGUUUUUUGUCUUUUAUAAACAUUAAUGUGACGCAAUCAUUUUUAUAGAGUUGUGUAAAAAAGGAAAGAAAAGACCAGAGGUUUGUUUUUACGUUGAUGAAAUCAGUCGUCCACAACAGACCAUGUCAGAUCAGGGCCGCCUGAGCUGUGAGCGCCCCCUGCUGCAGACGUCUAAUGUCAUAUACAGUUGUAAUAUAGUGCAGGCAUAACCUGAUUGGAUUUAAUGAUGCCAAGUUGCUUAAAUGAUUUACAUUCCAGGGGGCGCUAACACUUCACUAAAUCCUGGGUUCUUUUGUUCAUAUAUGUUGCUGUUUUUACAUGUGUCCUGUAGUGGACUGAGUUUGUGUAUGUGUGUCUUGAUGGUCCACUGUGAGUCUACACUGACUGGUGGUCCCUCUUUACUCCACACCUGCCUCCUCCUCCUCCUCCUCCUCCUCCUCCUCCUCUUCCUCCUGCCCCUCACCCUGUUUAGACAGAUACAGUCAGGGACUGACCUGAGUGUCCAUCUCAUCAUGCCCCGCCCCCUCCCGUCCCUUGCUGAGUUCUGAGAGCCCAGACAUAGACAAAGAGAGAAGUUUGUUUGAAGAUGUCUCCUGCUGUCUGACCAUAACACAGGAGGGCCUUCAGAUAGGGAGAGAAUAAACACCUCCAUGUAAAGUUUAGGCUUUUUCAUGUGUGGUUGUAUAAAAAAGAGUCUCCGUAUCAGUGAGGGGGUUCUAUAAGAGCCGCAGAAGAACUGGGGGGCGGGGGGGGACGACUACCAGCUGAAGUAUCUGAACAUGUUUAUGUCUGUAUUCAGUGGGAGACGGAUGUUCCUAACAGCUUACAGUGCCACACCAAACCUCCAAGAGAAAAUCAGUGAUUUUAGCUCAGACCAAAGUCCAUAGAGAAAAUCAGUGAUUUUAGUUCAGACCAAAGUCCAUAGAGAAAAUCUGCACCUCCUGUUGUCAGUUUGUGUCACCAAGUUUAAUCUUAAUUAAAUUUAGAUUAAAUUGUAUUAAAAAAGAAACCCACACUCAUAAUUAUUUGACAAAUUGAUUUUCUGUGUGGACAUUGAUUUGGGAAAUGACACUGUCUCAGUGUCUCCUAAGUUUCAGUUUCCUGUUGAAAAAUCCCAUGGAACAGUGAGAUAGAACAGCGAUCAUGUUUCUCUGACUCUGUAAACUUCAGCCGACAUUAAUUUUAUAAGCUGAGGCUUCUGUUAUCUUUCUGUUGGACAGUUUUCUUUUUCAACAGGAAACUGAAGUUAGGAAACCAAACAGUGGCUACAGCGGCUGCUCCACUGCUGUAGUCAGGGUGACAGUUACAGUCGUCCUCCACCUGUACCUCAGUAAAGGUGGUAACGAAGGUAGAAUCUUCUGGAUUAAAGUUUGAUGAAGCCCAGCCUCUCUGAGACCUUUCUCUCCACACAUCGUCUGUCCACCUGUCGGCUGUCCUUUGUCCCACCUCAAACAGCGACCCCUCCCUCCUGCCAGGGUCCACUGCUCCACAGCUGGCAGCAGGAACACCCACCACAACUUCCUAUCAGGUCCCAGUGCUUUAAUACAGGCAGCCCAUACUGAGGCCACAUGGGGCAGUGUGGCUGGAGGGGCUGCAGGUAAGAACAACAACCCCUGCCCCAAAGACUGCCCCCCCCCCCCCUUACUUAGACUGUAGUUUAUAAAUCACUGUCUAGGCCAACAUGGAUGGAUGAGGGGACGGACGGAUGGUUGGAUGAAAAAUGGUCAUUGAAUGUGAUAAUAUUAUUCUAAAAAAGAGGCCCAAGAACAGUGUUUAAUUAACAAAAUUAAUUAAAUUUAGUUACAGAUAAAGACAGACGAACAGCUGAGCUUAAAUCACUGAUUUUCUCUAUGGACAUUUGUAUGGAAAAGUAAGUGAUUUAUAGAACUGACAUCCCUUCACCACCAGAUGUCCCUCCUCACCUGUGUGGGUGAGUGAGUGUGUGUGUGCGUGCGUGCGUGCGUGUGUGUGUUUAGAGAGCGGCUCAGUCUAUCAGCUCAGCCAGAUGAAGAAGGAAGCCCUGGUGUAAACAUUGUCUCUUCUUUUUUUUCUCUGUUUAAACUGAACUGAGAUCAGUUCAUCUUUUUUUCCUCUCAGAUUAUUCCUGAACUUUUCAUCAUCACUUCCAUUUCUUCCUCAAUGGUUGAUCUUCGCCGUCCAGUUGGUGUUUGAUCAGGACUAAGAACAGCAGGUGGAGUCACGGGUCAGAUGUUUGUUGGACAGGGUGGAGCGCUCCAACAUCUUCAGAGUUUCUGUUCUUCACCCUCCCAGUUUCUCCUGGUUCCUCCACCUGAACACGUUCCAUAAGGAUCCCAGGGACCCGGUCCAACAUGU